UCACUACUUGCGUAGGCAGUCUGGCUAGAGUCCCCACCACUACGUGCUGGUAACUAACCACAGGGGUUGCGCUCGUUGCGCCACUUAAGGCAACACCUCACGGCACGAGCUGACGACAGCCAUGCAGCACCUUCCAUGGUGCCCCGAAGGGAAGGCCCGUUUCGGGACCGGUCACCACAGAUUUAGCCCGGGUAAGGUUCUUCGCGUUGCAUCGAAUUAAGCCACAUGCUCCACCGCUUGUGCGGGCCCCCGUCAAUUCCUUUGAGUUUCAUUCUUGCGAACGUACUCCCCAGGUGGUAUGCUUACUGCGUUAACUGCGUCACGGAGCCUUCCAGCCCCACAACUAGCAUACAUCGUUUACAGCGUGGACUAC
RNAcentral lists this unclassified non-coding RNA (373 nucleotides) under uncultured Bacteroidota bacterium. Its description in RNAcentral is "uncultured Bacteroidetes bacterium contains 16S-23S intergenic spacer region". The record is from RNAcentral. Lineage: Bacteria; Pseudomonadati; Bacteroidota.